AUGUUAAACCCUGCAAGUCUGAAAUCAGCAUUCCUGGGCUGGAAUUUUCACUGAGCCAUCUGGUGGAUUUUAGCUGCAAAUGUAGGGCUGGCAAACUUCAUAAAGCCUCUGCCUUGUUAGUCCUGCUCCUCUGCCUUCAUGAUCCAAUGUGGGCAUAAGAAUUCCUCAUGUAGACACAAUCCAGCAGUGGGAGAUCCAUUUAGGCUGAGAUUAUGUGGCCUCAGAGUAACAUGAGUCAAUGCAGAGCUGAAGCAGCAGCUCCCCUUGCAAUCAGAUAAUCUGAGCCUGGAAGAAAGAGUUGGCUUUUUGUUUUCCCAAGACACUACCCCCAGGAGGAAGAAACUGCUGGGUUCAGGUUCAGCUGAAGCUGAUAGUAUCUGGCAGCUGGCUAACAGCUCUUGGGGUACAUCCCCAGGGGCUGCAGCUCCUUUUCUCCCAUCAUAAGAACUAUUUUACUUUAUCACCUGAGGAGGGUUUGAAAUGCUCGACUAGAGCUGGCUUGUCUGCAGCUUGUGUUAAGAGAGGCAGGGCUGCCACUGCAAAAAGCAUGGAUUUGCAGG
Long non-coding RNA from Pezoporus occidentalis (night parrot), 560 nucleotides. RefSeq lists it as uncharacterized. NCBI's taxonomy places the organism in Eukaryota, Metazoa, Chordata, Aves, Psittaciformes, Psittacidae. The transcript has 3 exons. The record is from RefSeq and is a predicted model, not a curated record.